Molecule: long non-coding RNA, 695 nt
Organism: Amphiprion ocellaris (clown anemonefish)
Lineage: Eukaryota; Metazoa; Chordata; Actinopteri; Pomacentridae
Exons: 3
Source: RefSeq, a predicted model, not a curated record
UGGCACCUUUCCGGUAGAGGAGCCGAAAUGGCAGCGGUUUGCCGAACGAACUUCUCCGUUGGACAAACUUUUGGAUUUUUGAUGUUUAUCAACUGGAAUAUUUGAAUUUUAAGGUGACAGAACGAACUGUAACGUGUCAGAACGCGUUUAGAACCGGUACCGGCGGAGUUAUCGACCGAAAUGAGGAAAUAUUCGGAGAAACUACACGGACAAAUAUUCGGAGACUUAGACCGGAAUAAACUGGAAUAAACCGGAUUUUACUUCACUUCGACCGCCUGAACUCCUGCUGAUCGCAUGCCCAGAAGGGAAAGGAUCAAGAGAGACAAAGAAAGGGAUCUACAGCAGGGAAGCAGCUCUCUGCUCUCCUGGAUUAAAUAAACAUCUAAGGAGGAUGACGAGACAGAUCAUGAAGAAGAAAGGAAAUUCUACAGGAUAAGAUGGUUUCCUCUUCUCAGCUUUUAGCUCUGCUGCAGCACUGAGGAAAGCUGAAGCUUUACUGUCUAUAAACACUGCACAAAAUGUAGGUUUUUAACAGUUUCAGCUGCAUUUUGUAGUGUUAUUUUACAAUGUUCCCUGUUUUGAUCAUUUAGAUCUAAAAAUCGUAAAAUGACAGCAAAGAAUGCAACAUUUCACUAUGAAAUCACACUAUUUUACUGGAUUUAAAUCAGCAAACGAAACGUCAUCAUUUUACAGAU